GGUGGCGUAGGCAAAUUGGUAAAGCCCCACGACUUUCACUCGUGUGUUUGCGGGUUCGACUCCCGUCGCCACUGCCA
Molecule: transfer RNA, 77 nt
Filed under: Leptolyngbya sp. PCC 7375
Lineage: Bacteria; Bacillati; Cyanobacteriota; Cyanophyceae; Leptolyngbyales; Leptolyngbyaceae
Also listed under: 6 other names
Description: tRNA-Glu
Rfam family: tRNA
About the family: Transfer RNA (tRNA) molecules are approximately 80 nucleotides in length. Their secondary structure includes four short double-helical elements and three loops (D, anti-codon, and T loops). Further hydrogen bonds mediate the characteristic L-shaped molecular structure. tRNAs have two regions of fundamental functional importance: the anti-codon, which is responsible for specific mRNA codon recognition, and the 3' end, to which the tRNAs corresponding amino acid is attached (by aminoacyl-tRNA synthetases). tRNAs cope with the degeneracy of the genetic code in two manners: having more than one tRNA (with a specific anti-codon) for a particular amino acid; and 'wobble' base-pairing, i.e. permitting non-standard base-pairing at the 3rd anti-codon position.
Source: RNAcentral